CUUUAACGUCUUGUUACACAGGCAGUCCUGAGGGUGUUCAAAGAGACCCAAAUUCUGCUGUCUGCAGAGCUGCUAGCUCUGCAAGGCCCGAGCCAGCCGUGAUGGGAGUUAAUGCUACGAACUCACCAAGUUUCUCUUACCUAAAGGCACCUGGGAGGUGUUCCUACUGAACAAAUGCAAAGAUCUCAAAUCUGAGAAAAGCUUGCUUUGACCAGAAUGUUUUCAGUGUAGUUUAAGAGCCUGGAAGGAAGAGAAGAAGC
RNAcentral lists this long non-coding RNA (260 nucleotides) under Anser brachyrhynchus (Pink-footed goose). RNAcentral's name for it is "lncRNA (ENSABRG00000006533.1)". The record is from RNAcentral. Lineage: Eukaryota; Metazoa; Chordata; Aves; Anseriformes; Anatidae.